This 497-nucleotide ribosomal RNA is filed under the name uncultured bacterium. RNAcentral's name for it is "partial 16S ribosomal RNA". It matches the Rfam family "Bacterial small subunit ribosomal RNA", at positions 28 to 507 of the family's 1533-position model. The record is from RNAcentral.
GAUGAACGCUGGCGGCGUGCCUAAUACAUGCAAGUCGAGCGAACGGACGAGAAGCUUGCUUCUCUGAUGUUAGCGGCGGACGGGUGAGUAACACGUGGAUAACCUACCUAUCAGACUGGGAUAACUUCGGGAAACCGGCGCUAAUACCGGAUAAUAUUUUGAACCGCAUGGUUCAAUAGUGAAAGACGGUCUUGCUGUCACUUAUAGCUGCAUCUGGGCUGCAUUGGCUAGUUGGUAAGGUAACGGCCUACCAAGGCAACGAUGCAUAGCCGACGUGCGAGGCGGAUCGGCCGCAUGAGAGCGUGGACAGGGACCAUGGGCCUAAGAGAGGGAGCAGAAGGGAAUCUGACGCAAUGGGGGAAAGCCUGACGGAACAACGCCGCGUGAGAUAUAGAGGUCUUCGGAGCGUAAAACUCGGUUAUGAGGGAAGAACAGAUUUGGAAGGAACUGUGCACAGCGUGACGGUACCUAAUCAGAAAGCCACGGCUAACUACGUG